CCGCGGUCGUGGUUCCCGCCCAUUCCGUUCUUCACCCCGCCGCCUCCGGCGUUCCCGUUCCCGCUGCCGCCGAUCCCGUUCUUCACCCCGCCGUCGCCUCCACCACCGGCGUUCCCUUUCCCACUACCACCAUGGCCAUGGUCGCCACCGUCGCCUCCGCCGUCACCGUCAUUCCCGUUUCCUCAUCUGCCGCCGAUCUUUACAACACCAUCGCCUCCGCCACCGCCGCCGCCAGAAUUCCCGUUCCGUAUACCACCACUCCCACAGCUGCCUCCUCUCCCUCGCUUCCCACCACUACCAUCACUGUAUUCACCGCCACCUCCUCCACCUCCACCACCACCUCCG
This 345-nucleotide long non-coding RNA is filed under the name Sorghum bicolor (sorghum). Its description in RNAcentral is "long non-coding RNA (SBIC_LNC014141)". Lineage: Eukaryota; Viridiplantae; Streptophyta; Magnoliopsida; Poales; Poaceae. The record is from RNAcentral.